Molecule: long non-coding RNA, 460 nt
Filed under: Bos indicus x Bos taurus (hybrid cattle)
Lineage: Eukaryota; Metazoa; Chordata; Mammalia; Artiodactyla; Bovidae
Description: lncRNA (ENSBIXG00005018285.1)
Source: RNAcentral
AAUAAGGAAACUCAUUCAGCAUACUGAGGUGUUGUUGCUUCCUGUGUUUCAGGAUUUCUUCUUGCAGGAAGAUGGGCCAUGAUUCUGCUCUGCAUUGAACCCUGAGAUCCAACUUCCAAAGCGCAAGGCAUGAUAAGGAAUCCCCGUUGCCUCCUUUAAGAGACAAGAAGACCCACAAAUCCUGUCUCGCUGUUCCUAAGGUAAUGGAAAUCAAACUAACAGUGGUUUAAGCCUGGAUGAAACUGAGCUAUGAUGAAACAUGGCACGAGGUGGUUUGGGAAGGGCUGCACAGGGGAAGAUGGAGCACAGCAACAGUGGGCUGAAGAUCUUGUAAGUCUACAUCCUGUUCCCCAUCUUUUAUAAGAAUAUGUAGUUCUGUCUAGCUCUGUCAUCCUAUUCUCCCAUUUUUUUCUGGGCUUUAUUAAUUUUCUUCAUUAUUUACCAAAAUGCCUCCUCACUG